Molecule: non-coding RNA, 30 nt
Filed under: Mus musculus (house mouse)
Lineage: Eukaryota; Metazoa; Chordata; Mammalia; Rodentia; Muridae
Source: RNAcentral
UAAGAAAGUUACGCACAAAGGGUUAUUUAU